UGUAAGUAUAAUCAUAAAUUUUCGUGUCCAACUUUGAUCGUUCGUCUUAUUUGAAAGUUUGUUAUGAUUAGUAUUUUAUCGUUAUUAGAUGAUAAAAUUUAUGAUUAGUAUUUUAUCGUUAUUAGAUGAUAAAAUAUAAAUAGUACUUUAUGCACGACUCAUAUUUUUUAACUUUUCAAAAAAACCUUUUAAAUAAGACGGACGAUCAAAAUUGCACGAAAAAUCAUGGCUGUAUUUUAA
Non-coding RNA from Oryza barthii, 240 nucleotides. NCBI's taxonomy places the organism in Eukaryota, Viridiplantae, Streptophyta, Magnoliopsida, Poales, Poaceae. The record is from Rfam.